CUGGGGUGGCUUUGAAAUCAGUCUCGUCAGCACAGCAGCAAUGAUACACAGAAACUGAUGUUGUUUUAGGUUAUUUUAAGUUUGGUGUUUGUUGGUUUUUGGCUGGCUAAUUGUAACGAGCGACACAGAGAAACUGAUUUUGAUGUUGCUGUUCUGUUUGUUUUAAGAUGGAUGCACAGCACUGGGUUCUCCCUGCAGGUACAGUGCUGUUAAACUGCAGGCAAAAUCCACCCUUCCCAGCCGUGUGUCCCAGCCGAUGUGUUCUGUAUAAAAGGAUCUGGUGUAACGGAGUUGUGUUACAGGGCCUGCAGGAAGGACCCCUGUUUGGUUACAGAGCAGGCGAUAUCGCUGUGAGUCAGCUCUGGGUUUCUUCACUGACUCUGUUUUAUUCUGCAUUUCUAAAACAGGCUGCAGACAGAAACACACACAGAGUCUUCCGACAGCCAGCCGCAGCCGUACCACAAGCACAGCUCAAUAAUUAAUAAACCCAGCCACCACCACCCAGCACUGCAUCGACAUACCUGCCCUUCCCAGCAGGACGAGAGCUGGCGAGAUGUGCUGUGUUCUGUCAGAAUGAGAACUUUCACAUCUGUGUGCCCUCUGAUCAGUCCAUCUACCUGUGUAUCUGUCUAUCUACCAAUAUCUUCCUAUCUAUCUAUCUAUCUAUCUAUCUAUCUAUCUAUCUAUCUCUCUCUCUCUGUACUACUACUACUACUACUACCACUACUACUAAUAAUAAUAAUAAUAAUAAUACGCCAUAUUUUUUUUGUGAAAACGAGUUUAUGAAUUGUAUUUAAAACAGACAUCCAGCUAAUUAUAUCAUUUGAAACAAAAGUCGUGACAGUGAACGAGAACAUUUAAUUUAAACUUUUUAAACUUUGCGAGACAGUCCCGCCCGCCACCGGCCCCAUGAAACUCGUGACCGGCCAGCGCAUGGGACACGGGGGGACGUCGUGGAGCCCCUUUGAGAGGUGAACUCCAUGAACCGGCACCCCGCUGCGCGUGUGCCGCUGUCUCGGAGACCGCUCCAGCAGAUAAGCGGUACGCAACAAUGUUUAGCAAUGCCAUGGCGAUUUCAACGAUUGAUUAACCCAUGGCUGAGUUCAAGCGGGACAACUUCUAUAUAUUGAGUGCAUAUGCUGUCUUUAAAUUGAUGCACACUGUAAUUCGAUUCGCCGUUCCUAUCUUUUUUUUUAAUGCACAACGCAGUCGCUUUGAUAUCACUAACCUAUAGGAAACAGUUGCAUAAAAAUAAGAUGAAGCUAUAGGAGAGAAGUGUCAACCAAUUAAGUAAAAAUAUUUUGAAGAAAAUAUUUUAAACUGUUUUCUUUAUUUUUCCUCCUUUUAUUAUAUUGUUUAUCACUAUUAAACCUAACUAUUAAACCGUAAUUUAAACAAAAUACAGAAAUCCAGAGAAUUGUAAAGAAUGUCUACUUAAAAAACCAACCCAUUUUCUCAUUUGUAUUUUGUUUCAUAAUUCCAAAUUGAGAUGUUUUCGUUAAUAGUACAUAGCUGUCCGUAGUUUUAUAUAAUUUGCUGGAUGUCUUUGUUUUAAAUACAAUUCAUAAAUUCGUUUUCACAAAAAUAUGGCGUUGUAUUAUUAGUAGUAGUAGUAAUAGUAUUUAUUAGUUGUUGUAGUAGUACAGAAUUAAUAUUUUGCUGCUGUUGUUAGUAUUAACUGACAUUAACGUUUCAUUAUAUAUUUUAAAAAAAAAACAGAUUAACACGUAUACACAUUUGAGGCCUUCUGUCUAUGUUCAAGCUGUUUUUUGUGUGUACGAAUACACAGUAGUAGCCUAAAGCGCAGGAAGCAACUGGUGAACAAAAUGUUAAUCCCUUAAAACGUGUGAAAGACUUGGACUGAUCUUGACCUUCAAACACAUUUCUUCUAAAGUAUAAAACAUAUAAAACACAAACUGUUGUUAAAAAUGCAUGGUCAUUGUAAUUCUACCAUGUGCUGAUGUCAUCAUAACAUUAAAGAACACGUGCUGUUCUGAAAAUAGAACCACCUAACAAUCUAU
Long non-coding RNA from Acipenser ruthenus (sterlet), 2021 nucleotides. RefSeq lists it as uncharacterized. The record is from RefSeq and is a predicted model, not a curated record. The transcript is spliced from 2 exons. NCBI's taxonomy places the organism in Eukaryota, Metazoa, Chordata, Actinopteri, Acipenseriformes, Acipenseridae.